GGGGAAUUUUGGACAAUGGGGGCAACCCUGAUCCAGCCAUGCCGCGUGCGGGAAGAAGGCCUUCGGGUUGUAAACCGCUUUCGGACAGAAAGAAAUCGCAUGGGUUAAUACCCUGUGUGGAUGACGGUACUGUAAGAAGAAGCACCGGCUAACUACGUGCCAGCAGCCGCGGUAAUACGUAGGGUGCGAGCGUUAAUCGGAAUUACUGGGCGUAAAGCGUGCGCAGGCGGACAUUUAAGUCAGACGUGAAAUCCCCGGGCUUAACCUGGGAAUGGCGUUUGAAACUGGAUGUCUAGAGUACGGCAGAGGGGGGUGGAAUUCCACGUGUAGCAGUGAAAUGCGUAGAGAUGUGGAGGAACACCGAUGGCGAAGGCAGCCCCCUGGGCUAUUACUGACGCUCAUGCACGAAAGCGUGGGGAGCAAAC
Molecule: ribosomal RNA, 425 nt
Filed under: uncultured bacterium
Lineage: Bacteria
Description: bacterial SSU rRNA
Rfam family: Bacterial small subunit ribosomal RNA
Source: RNAcentral